GAUGAACGCUGGCGGCGUGCUUAACACAUGCAAGUCGAACGAAGCACUUGAUUUGAUUUCUUCGGAAUGAAGAUUUUGUGACUGAGUGGCGGACGGGUGAGUAACGCGUGGGUAACCUGCCUCAUACAGGGGGAUAACAGUUGGAAACGACUGCUAAUACCGCAUAAGCGCACAGGAUUGCAUGAUCCAGUGUGAAAACUCCGGUGGUAUGAGAUGGACCCGCGUCUGAUUAGCUUGUUGGCGGGUAAUGGCCCACCAAGGCGACGAUCAGUAGCCGACCUGAGAGGGUGACCGGCCACAUUGGGACUGAGACACGGGUCCAAAACUCCUACGGGAGGCAGCAGUGAGGAAU
Molecule: ribosomal RNA, 352 nt
Filed under: uncultured bacterium
Lineage: Bacteria
Description: bacterial SSU rRNA
Rfam family: Bacterial small subunit ribosomal RNA
Source: RNAcentral